Molecule: microRNA precursor, 62 nt
Filed under: Xyrichtys novacula (pearly razorfish)
Lineage: Eukaryota; Metazoa; Chordata; Actinopteri; Labriformes; Labridae
Source: RNAcentral
GUGAACCAAUCCUAACCAAGACCUUCCAGUUACUGGAAGGUCUUGGUUAGGAUUGGUUCACA